UACGUAGGGCGCGAGCGUUAAUCGGAAUUACUGGGCGUAAAGCGCGCGCAGGCUGUUGUGUAAGUUGGGGGUGAAAUCCCACGGCUCAACCGUGGAACAGCCCUUGAUACUGCGCGACUUGAAUCCGGGAGAGGGUGGCGGAAUUCCAGGUGUAGGAGUGAAAUCCGUAGAUAUCUGGAGGAACAUCAGUGGCGAAGGCGGCCACCUGGACCGGUAUUGACGCUGAGGCGCGAAAGCGUGGGGAGCAAACAGG
RNAcentral lists this ribosomal RNA (253 nucleotides) under uncultured bacterium. Its description in RNAcentral is "partial 16S ribosomal RNA". It matches the Rfam family "Bacterial small subunit ribosomal RNA", at positions 524 to 776 of the family's 1533-position model. The record is from RNAcentral.